This 479-nucleotide ribosomal RNA is filed under the name uncultured bacterium. RNAcentral describes it as "bacterial SSU rRNA". It matches the Rfam family "Bacterial small subunit ribosomal RNA", at positions 25 to 518 of the family's 1533-position model. The record is from RNAcentral.
CAGGACGAACGCUGGCGGCGUGCCUAACACAUGCAAGUCGAACGGACGAGGGGAGCUUGCUCCCCAAGUUAGUGGCGGACGGGUGAGUAACACGUGAGCAACCUGCCCUUCGGAGGGGGGACAACAGCGGGAAACUGCUGCUAAUACCGCAUAACGUAUUCUGGAGGCAUCUCCGGGAUACCAAAGAUUUUAUCGCCGAAGGAUGGGCUCGCGUCUGAUUAGAUAGUUGGCGGGGCAACGGCCCACCAAGUCUACGAUCAGUAGCCGGACUGAGAGGUUGAACGGCCACAUUGGGACUGAGAUACGGCCCAGACUCCUACGGGAGGCAGCAGUGGGGAAUAUUGGGCAAUGGGGGGCAACCCUGACCCAGCAACGCCGCGUGGAGGAAGAAGGCUUUCGGGUUGUAAACUCCUUUGACGAGGGACGAUAGUGACGGUACCUCGAAAACAAGCCACGGCUAACUACGUGCCAGCCGCCGC